AAAUUUAUAGUAAAAGGAAAAUCUGUUGAUUUAAAAAAUCGUGAGGGUUCAAGUCCCUCUAUCCCCA
Molecule: transfer RNA, 67 nt
Filed under: Scaevola glabra
Lineage: Eukaryota; Viridiplantae; Streptophyta; Magnoliopsida; Asterales; Goodeniaceae
Description: partial tRNA-Leu
Source: RNAcentral